This 429-nucleotide ribosomal RNA is filed under the name Chloroflexota bacterium. RNAcentral describes it as "Chloroflexi bacterium partial 16S ribosomal RNA". It matches the Rfam family "Bacterial small subunit ribosomal RNA", at positions 355 to 776 of the family's 1533-position model. Lineage: Bacteria; Bacillati; Chloroflexota. The record is from RNAcentral.
UGGGGAAUAUUGCACAAUGGGCGCAAGCCUGAUGCAGCCAUGCCGCGUGUGUGAAGAAGGCCUUCGGGUUGUAAAGCACUUUCAGCGGGGAGGAAGGCGAUAAGGUUAAUAACCUCAUCGAUUGACGUUACCCGCAGAAGAAGCACCGGCUAACCCCGGGCCAGCAGCCGCGGUAAUACGGAGGGUGCAAGCGUUAAUCGGAAUUACUGGGCGUAAAGCGCACGCAGGCGGUAUGUCAAGUCGGAUGUGAAAUCCCCGGGCUCAACCUGGGAACUGCAUUCGAAACUGGCAGGCUAGAGUCUUGUAGAGGGGGGUAGAAUUCCAGGUGUAGCGGUGAAAUGCGUAGAGAUCUGGAGGAAUACCGGUGGCGAAGGCGGCCCCCUGGACGAAGACUGACGCUCAGGUGCGAAAGCGUGGGGAGCAAACAGG